Molecule: non-coding RNA, 1264 nt
Organism: Anolis sagrei ordinatus
Lineage: Eukaryota; Metazoa; Chordata; Lepidosauria; Squamata; Anolidae
Source: RefSeq, a predicted model, not a curated record
UUGAGAAGUACUGCCCAGACAAUAUUAUCCACAGCUUGAGCAAGGUGCCUGAAUGGUGAUUAAACAACUUCAAGCUUUCUCAGGAGAAACAGGUUAUCUGGGCCCAUUUCUGUCUGGUUUCAGUCCCAGGUAUCCCAUUGAAACAGUAUUAGCCACUGUGAAUGAUGAUCUACUCAGGAUAAAAGAUGGAGAAAUUCUACCCUGUCAAUUUCCUGGAUUCUCUCAAUAUAUUUUGAUCACUGUUCUGGAUCUGCCAAGCAGAGAUGUGAUGCGUUUCCUUGAGGGCUCCAAGAGGGAAGAAGGAGGUACAGAACAUUUCAGAACCUGAUCCAACUGGAUUGUCUUCUCAGAUUUUAAACCAUGGCUGAUAUCAAAUGAGAGACUCCCUCCUGGGCACACAGAAGACUGGGCGACUUGGAAGGCGCUGAACAGACUGCGCUCUGGCACCAUGAGAUGCAGAGCCAAUCUUAAGAAAUGGAGGCACAAAGUGGAGUCCAUGACACGUGAGUGUGGAGAAGAGCAAACCACAGACCACCUAUUACAAUGCAGUCUGAGCCCUGCUACAUGCAGAAAGGAGGACCUUUUCACAGCAACACUAGAGGCACUCCAAGCGGCCAGUUACUGGUCAAAGCACAUUUAGUAUAAUGUCAAGUUUUAACUUUGUUUGUGUUCUUAAAUCCAUUACAAGUGUACCCUCAGUUUGCUUCUGAUACGAUAAAUAAAUAAAAUAAAACCACUUCAGAAUCAGCUGUAUCCUUCAAGGGAUGACAUACUGUACAUUUAAAAAUUAAAUAACUUACAAGGAUUCCCAGUCAAAUCAAUAUGCCCAAAUAUGUGAAAAGUCUCUUUCCCAUCUAAUGGCAGCCAUGUACCUGUAUAUUCAAUUAAUUUAUGAGAUUUUGAUUGAACACCUCUAUAUUAUUACCCAGAGACUUAUUUUAUGCUUUAUAACAAAGUGCAGUUUUAGAUAAGAUCUCUACAGUUCAGACAUUAUAGUCCAACUCUGUACAGCAAGUAUUUGUCUUUUUAAUGCAGUUAACAAAUUCAGUAAUGUUUUUAUACGUAUCUACUACUCAUCUUGUUAAAUCCAAAUCUCUAGAAACUUUAAUUAAUACUCACAACUCUGAUGAUAAUAAUAUCAUGAUUCUUUUCAGAAGAGUAAGAUAUUGGCAGAUCAGUUAAGUACCCAAUUGAGCAUGAGUUGGGAGAAAUUGGUUUAGCAGCCUCAAAUCAAUGGAAAUGUUUCAGUUUAAUAAAAAGUGAA